CCAGACUCCUACGGGAGGCAGUAGUGGGGAAUAUUGCACAAUGGGGGAAACCCUGAUGCAGCGACGCCGCGUGAGUGAAGAAGUAUUUCGGUAUGUAAAGCUCUAUCAGCAGGGAAGAUAAUGACGGUACCUGACUAAGAAGCCCCGGCUAACUACGUGCCAGCAGCCGCGGUAAUACGUAGGGGGCGAGCGUUAUCCGGAUUCACUGGGUGUAAAGGGAGCGUAGACGGCCGUGCAAGCCAGGAGUGAAAGCCCGGGGCCCAACCCCGGGACUGCUCUUGGAACUGUGCGGCUGGAGUGCGGGAGGGGCAGGCGGAAUUCCUGGUGUAGCGGUGAAAUGCGUAGAUAUUAGGAGGAACACCAGUGGCGAAGGCGGCCUGCUGGACGAUGACUGACGUUGAGGCUCGAAAGCGUGGGGAGCAAACAGGAUUAGAUACCCGAGUACU
This 446-nucleotide ribosomal RNA is filed under the name uncultured bacterium. Its description in RNAcentral is "bacterial SSU rRNA". It matches the Rfam family "Bacterial small subunit ribosomal RNA", at positions 331 to 794 of the family's 1533-position model. The record is from RNAcentral.